This 1439-nucleotide ribosomal RNA is filed under the name Limosilactobacillus fermentum. Its description in RNAcentral is "bacterial SSU rRNA". It matches the Rfam family "Bacterial small subunit ribosomal RNA". The record is from RNAcentral. Lineage: Bacteria; Bacillati; Bacillota; Bacilli; Lactobacillales; Lactobacillaceae.
GCAGUCGAACGCGUUGGCCCAAUUGAUUGAUGGUGCUUGCACCUGAUUGAUUUUGGUCGCCAACGAGUGGCGGACGGGUGAGUAACACGUAGGUAACCUGCCCAGAAGCGGGGGACAACAUUUGGAAACAGAUGCUAAUACCGCAUAACAGCGUUGUUCGCAUGAACAACGCUUAAAAGAUGGCUUCUCGCUAUCACUUCUGGAUGGACCUGCGGUGCAUUAGCUUGUUGGUGGGGUAACGGCCUACCAAGGCGAUGAUGCAUAGCCGAGUUGAGAGACUGAUCGGCCACAAUGGGACUGAGACACGGCCCAUACUCCUACGGGAGGCAGCAGUAGGGAAUCUUCCACAAUGGGCGCAAGCCUGAUGGAGCAACACCGCGUGAGUGAAGAAGGGUUUCGGCUCGUAAAGCUCUGUUGUUAAAGAAGAACACGUAUGAGAGUAACUGUUCAUACGUUGACGGUAUUUAACCAGAAAGUCACGGCUAACUACGUGCCAGCAGCCGCGGUAAUACGUAGGUGGCAAGCGUUAUCCGGAUUUAUUGGGCGUAAAGAGAGUGCAGGCGGUUUUCUAAGUCUGAUGUGAAAGCCUUCGGCUUAACCGGAGAAGUGCAUCGGAAACUGGAUAACUUGAGUGCAGAAGAGGGUAGUGGAACUCCAUGUGUAGCGGUGGAAUGCGUAGAUAUAUGGAAGAACACCAGUGGCGAAGGCGGCUACCUGGUCUGCAACUGACGCUGAGACUCGAAAGCAUGGGUAGCGAACAGGAUUAGAUACCCUGGUAGUCCAUGCCGUAAACGAUGAGUGCUAGGUGUUGGAGGGUUUCCGCCCUUCAGUGCCGGAGCUAACGCAUUAAGCACUCCGCCUGGGGAGUACGACCGCAAGGUUGAAACUCAAAGGAAUUGACGGGGGCCCGCACAAGCGGUGGAGCAUGUGGUUUAAUUCGAAGCUACGCGAAGAACCUUACCAGGUCUUGACAUCUUGCGCCAACCCUAGAGAUAGGGCGUUUCCUUCGGGAACGCAAUGACAGGUGGUGCAUGGUCGUCGUCAGCUCGUGUCGUGAGAUGUUGGGUUAAGUCCCGCAACGAGCGCAACCCUUGUUACUAGUUGCCAGCAUUAAGUUGGGCACUCUAGUGAGACUGCCGGUGACAAACCGGAGGAAGGUGGGGACGACGUCAGAUCAUCAUGCCCCUUAUGACCUGGGCUACACACGUGCUACAAUGGACGGUACAACGAGUCGCGAACUCGCGAGGGCAAGCAAAUCUCUUAAAACCGUUCUCAGUUCGGACUGCAGGCUGCAACUCGCCUGCACGAAGUCGGAAUCGCUAGUAAUCGCGGAUCAGCAUGCCGCGGUGAAUACGUUCCCGGGCCUUGUACACACCGCCCGUCACACCAUGAGAGUUUGUAACACCCAAAGUCGGUGGGGUAACCUUUAGGAGCCAGCC